UCCGGCUUCUCGCCGGCAGUCCUCCUUGAGUACCCGGCCUGAUCCGCUGGCAACAAGGAGCAAGAGUUGCGCUCGUUGCGGGACUUAACCCAACAUCUCACGACACGAGCUGGCGACAGCCAUGCAGCACCUGUGUUACGGUUCCCUUUCGGGCACUCCCCCAUCUCUGGGGGAUUCCGUACAUGUCAAGGGUAGGUAAGGUUUUUCGCGUUGCAUCGAAUUAAUCCACAUAAUCCACCGCUUGUGCGGGUCCCCGUCAAUUCCUUUGAGUUUUAAUCUUGCGACCGUACUCCCCAGGCGGGGCACUUAAUGCGUUAGCUGCGGCACCCAGGGGGUCAAUACCCCGGACACCUAGUGCCCAUCGUUUACAGCGUGGACUAC
Molecule: unclassified non-coding RNA, 381 nt
Filed under: uncultured Pseudomonadota bacterium
Lineage: Bacteria; Pseudomonadati; Pseudomonadota
Description: uncultured proteobacterium contains 16S-23S intergenic spacer region
Source: RNAcentral